This is a non-coding RNA of Xenopus laevis (African clawed frog), 505 nucleotides long. NCBI's taxonomy places the organism in Eukaryota, Metazoa, Chordata, Amphibia, Anura, Pipidae. The record is from the annotation of a RefSeq genome assembly.
UUGGUUGGUGUUUUGCAUAGAGACAUUGUGUGGCUAAACUGCAGCUGCUAUAAAAGUGCCAGUGUCCCUGUGCCAUAUUAAUGAUCUGUAUGUGUCACAGUGCAUAGAUAGAGACAUGUCUUAUCCCACUUAUCUACUGCUGCUGCUGCUGCUGGGGAUCCUCCUGAUCUUUAUCCAGGGUUCUUAUGGGCAGAUUGUAAUGACUCAGUCUCCAGAUUAUGCCUCUGUGUCACCAGGAGAAACUGUCACCCUCACAUGUAAAGCCAGUAGCAGUGUUGAGUAUAACUGGUUAGCCUGGUACCAACAGAAAUCAGGGCAGGCACCAAAGCUGCUGAUCUAUGCUGCAAGCACCCGACACACAGGGACCCCAGAGCGGAUCAGCGGCAGUGGGUCUGGAACUGAUUUCACUCUUACAAUCAGCAGAAUGGAAGCAGAAGAUGCAGCAGAUUAUUACUGUCAGCAGUAUAGGAGUUCCCCUCUCACACAGUGAUACAGAGCUGAACAA